Molecule: ribosomal RNA, 277 nt
Filed under: uncultured Prevotella sp.
Lineage: Bacteria; Pseudomonadati; Bacteroidota; Bacteroidia; Bacteroidales; Prevotellaceae
Description: partial 16S ribosomal RNA
Rfam family: Bacterial small subunit ribosomal RNA
Source: RNAcentral
CUUUCCUUGACGACGACUGGCGCACGGGUGAGUAACGCGUAUCCAACCUUCCCAUGACCACGGGAUAACCCGUUGAAAGACGGCCUAAUACCGUAUGACGUCGUUUGCCGACAUCGAAAGACGACCAAAGGUUUGGCGGUGAUGGAUGGGGAUGCGUCUGAUUAGCUUGUUGGCGGGGUAACGGCCCACCAAGGCUACGAUCAGUAGGGGUUCUGAGAGGAAGGCCCCCCACAUUGGAACUGAGACACGGUCCAAACUCCUACGGGAGGCAGCAGUA